AGAGAGAGACAUGCGCGCAUAUCAAUAAGCGGAGGAAAAGAAACUAACAAGGAUUCCCUUAGUAACGGCGAGUGAAGCGGGAAGAGCUCAAAUUUGAAAUCUUCAAGGUUUUACCUUGACGAAUUGUAGUUUAAAGAAGUGUUUUCUGCUGAAGUUUUGGUAAAAGUUCUUUGGAAUAGGACAUCAUAGAGGGUGAGAAUCCCGUAUUUGACCAUUAUUUUCAGCUUUGUGAUACACUUUCAAAGAGUCGGAUUGUUUGGGAAUGCAGUCCAAAAUGGGUGGUAAAUUUCAUCUAAAGCUAAAUAUUGGCGAGAGACCGAUAGCGAACAAGUACCGUGAGGGAAAGAUGAAAAGAACUUUGAAAAGAGAGUUAAACAGUACGUGAAAUUGUCAAAAGGGAAGCGUUUGACACCAGUGUUGUUUUCUCGAAAAUCAACUAAAAAUGGCUCGAUUUUGUAUUGUUGAGACCUUAAAAGCUCACUGUACAUUUUUCGUGUCCUUUUUAAUGCACUUUUCAGUUUAACAAGUCAACAUCAGUUUCUUUUGUUGUAAAAGGGUCAUUGGAAGGUGGCUUUCUUUUCGGAGAAAGUGUUUAUAGCCUUUGGCCUCUGCAAUCGGAGAGACUGAGGUCUGCAGCGUAGACUCUUCGGGGUUAGAUACAUUUGUGCUAAGUUAUAGCUUUUUAUAGACAACUUGUUGACUAUAAUUAGUCUUGUAGCUUACUCGCUUAUGCUAUUUUACCUACGCUUAGGAUGUUGAAGUCAUCGUAUCGCGC
RNAcentral lists this ribosomal RNA (775 nucleotides) under uncultured Neocallimastigales. RNAcentral describes it as "partial large subunit ribosomal RNA". It matches the Rfam family "Eukaryotic large subunit ribosomal RNA", at positions 23 to 645 of the family's 3401-position model. Lineage: Eukaryota; Fungi; Neocallimastigomycota; Neocallimastigomycetes; Neocallimastigales. The record is from RNAcentral.